UGGUGGAGUGAUUUGUCUGGUUAAUUCCGAUAACGAACGAGAUCUUAACCUGCUAAAUAGCUGGAAGAAGGUUUCUUCUUCCCUGGCUUCUUAGAGGGACUUUGUGGUCUAAACAUGAGGAAGUUUGAGGCAAUAACA
This 138-nucleotide ribosomal RNA is filed under the name uncultured eukaryote. RNAcentral's name for it is "partial 18S ribosomal RNA". It matches the Rfam family "Eukaryotic small subunit ribosomal RNA", at positions 1299 to 1458 of the family's 1831-position model. The record is from RNAcentral.